CCUACGGGUGGCUGCAGUAGGGAAUAUUGCUCAAUGGGGGAAACCCUGAAGCAGCAACGCCGCGUGGAGGAUGAAGGUUUUCGGAUUGUAAACUCCUUUUGUUAGAGAAGAUAAUGACGGUAUCUAACGAAUAAGCACCGGCUAACUCCGUGCCAGCAGCCGCCGUAAGACGGAGGGUGCACGCGUUACUCCGAAUCACUGGGCGGAAAGGGCUCGUAGGGGUGAUAGCAAGGCAGAUGUGAAAUCCUAUGGCUUAACCAUAGGACUGCAUUUGAAACUGGUAUUCUAGAGUAUGGGAGAGGUAAGUGGAAUUCUUGGUGUAGGGGUAAAAUCCGUAGAGAUCAAGAAGAAUACUCAUGGCGAAGGCGACCUGCUAGAUCAAAACUGACGCUGAGGCGCGAAAGCGUGGGGAGCAAACAGGAUUAGAUACCCUGGUAGUC
RNAcentral lists this ribosomal RNA (440 nucleotides) under uncultured bacterium. RNAcentral describes it as "partial 16S ribosomal RNA". It matches the Rfam family "Bacterial small subunit ribosomal RNA", at positions 338 to 795 of the family's 1533-position model. The record is from RNAcentral.